UACAGGGGGGGCAAGCGUUGUUCGGAAUUACUGGGCGUAAAGGGCCAGUAGGCGGCCAACUAAGUCACACGUGAAAUCCCCAGGCUUAACCUGGGAACUGCGUCUGAUACUGGGAGGCUUGAGUGCGGGAGAGGGAUGCGGAAUUCCAGGUGUAGCGGUGAAAUGCGUAGAUAUCUGGAGGAACACCGGUGGCGAAGGCGGCAUCCUGGACCGGCAUUGACGCUGAGGCGCGAAAGCCAGGGGAGCAAACGGG
This 253-nucleotide ribosomal RNA is filed under the name uncultured bacterium. RNAcentral describes it as "partial 16S ribosomal RNA". It matches the Rfam family "Bacterial small subunit ribosomal RNA", at positions 524 to 776 of the family's 1533-position model. The record is from RNAcentral.